CUUGACUAGACUGGACACGAUGACUUGACUAGACUGGACACGAUGACUUGACUAGACUGGACACGAUGACUUGACUUGACACGAUGACUUGACUGGAACACUUGACUCCAGGAACACAGGACACCAGGAACACAGAGACGAACUGCAGCAGCAGGCAUGGGACCCAGCAGGAACUGCAGCAGCAGGCAUAGGCCCCAGCAGGAACUGCUGCGUGGAGAACCUGCAGGCGUGGACCAGGAAGUGGUUGAGUAGCGGGAGCGACGCGUGGAAGCCCAGCUCGGCGGCAGGUACUCGACAUCCCAAUCAGAGCAGGUGCACAUCCGAUCUACAGAGACCAUGUGCCAUCAGGUGGCAGUGACAGCUUUGAAGACACCUCCUCACCUGUUUAUGAGGAAUACAGAGAGUCCACCCACGAUGUAGAGCAGAACGAAGACGCUGACGGUGUUUAUGAUACUCUACCCCCAGCACGGCGGGCCUACGAGGGGUAUCCGCCAAGCCCCCCGGGCCUCAACCUACAUCCAGCUCAGCUCAUGCCUCCACUGAGGGCAUGGGACCUGCAGGCUGAGGGAUGGAGGGGCUCGCAGGAGGAUCGCGGCGAACUUGGAUCUGCUGGUUUGGCAGGUUCUGGGGAUGAGCUGGAAAGACUACUGAACCUGGUGUCCCUCAGAGCCAGGAGAGCCACACGGCUGAACAGAACCUCUACGGGAUCCGAGCCCUCAACAGGCUGGGAUGGGUUCAAAUGAGCUCGGUUUAAAACGUGUCCAUUUAAUAUUCCCAUUUACAUUUCACAGAAUUAUCUGCCUUUAUAGUAGAACAUCUCCAGUGCACCAUCUAAAAAUAAUUGAACAUAUAUAUUUAAAAAAAUGUAUAAAUAAAUGCUUCUAUUAUUCUGCAUUAUUUUCCCGGUGUAAACAAGCACUAAUCCACCACCAAUCCCCUGGAUCUUUUCUAAGCUGGAAGAACUAAGAGGAAAUAUAUGCGUGUUCUCUAGACGCCCUCACCUGUGCUGCUGCAUGUGAGCGUUAGCUGCAAUUGGCUGUGAAUCAAAGCUUUUACAUUUAUUAUUUAGAGUCGCUGAAGUGCUGCAUUUGGAGCUCAUCUCUCUCUCUCACUUUUUGGAUGAUAUCAACAUGCCCACAUGUUAUCGUGCAUUUCAGACAUUGUUCCAUCGACUCACACACAUACGGGCAUGUGCACGCAGACAGACAGAAUCACCUGGUGAACUCAACAUCAUCUUAAGGUAUUUUUUUAUAUUUUCACGGGUGUGUGCUUUGGGUUGUUUUGGAGAGAGCUGUUCACCCACAUCCUAGAAACAGCCUGAGAGAAGUUAAGAUUACCAACCCAGAUACUAAGGGAUCCUCACUUAAUUGUUCUAUGAAUAUUUAUUUGAUGAUUAUUUAUUUGUGUCAGCUGCUUUAUUAGUACACAUCCUGUGUUUGUUUUGUGUAUAAAAAUUAAGGCUUAAGGUAAUGUACCGUGGGUGUUUUUAUUUCAUCUGACAAUAGUGAAAAUAAAUGCAUUUGUUUUCAGAAUCUCAGCCCUUCUUGGAUGCUUCUAACACCCUUUUGACUCAUUCUGCCAUUGAAGGACCCAUGGAGGACCAAGCUUCCUGAUGCCGAAGCACAUUUUUUUCCAGAAUGACUUGAUGGUCUUGAGGUUUCAUUGGACCCUGAACAAAUUCACGACUUCCCGUGCCAGAAGCAGCAAAGCAGUGCCAGAGCAGUGGGUAUGCGGUCUGCCGGAUUUGUGUCGGUAUACUUGGAGCUUAUACGACAUCCCAGAAGGUUCCAGCUAAGCAUCUUUUGUCCAAAGGACAUCCUCCCUGAAGCUUUUGAUGUAUUGAUAUGCAAUAUGUUAAUAUCCGACAGUGACCUUGACUUUGGAGGUCACCUCUCAUCUCUUUUGAAGCUGUUCUAGCCCACUUGAUCAUUAUAUGUACUAUCCAUCUGUUUAAAUCAAUUAUCCUCUGAAUAGCCAAUCCAGAGGACCAACAAGCAGCUCGAGGAUGAUCUUUCAGCCUUUAACAUGUUGGUCAAUAAUUACUGUUCUAAUCUCCUAAAACAACUCUGUCUUCAGCUCCCUGUGGUUCAUUUUCUGUGAGGUGCACACCCUGAUGUGUGCACGAAUGAGUUUCUCUAGGUUCUGUCAGAACAUGAGACCUCUAAGUCAUGCUAUUUGAUGAAGAUGAUCCUUAAUGUGACCAGUGAAGCUCAGGUGUGAAUCAAUUAUGACAUCAAGAUUUCCAAUCUGGGUCUUUGUCUUCAUUGCUCUGGCGCCAAGCUGAACAAUAACCUCUAUCCCAUCCGUCUUAAUUCCAAAGACAAUAACUUCAGUCUUGUCUUUGUUUAGCUGGAGGAAGUUUGACUGCAUCCACUGACAGAGUGAGUCUAGGGAACCACAGUCACUAAGUGACUUUACACCCUUCAAACAGACAGACUGGCUUAUAACAGGAUUAGAGAAAAACGUGAUGAUAAUUAAAGGACACAUCUUAGCCCCUUUAGACCCUUUGGUCACAUAAGGCCCUGUUCAAACAAUUGGAUGCCUAAAUUGGUGGAUGAUUUAAAAAACGUGGCAAUAUAAAAAUCAGGGAUUGACUGGUUUGACAAAAGGUGUAUACGGAUCAAUUUCACA
Molecule: long non-coding RNA, 2631 nt
Organism: Nothobranchius furzeri (turquoise killifish)
Lineage: Eukaryota; Metazoa; Chordata; Actinopteri; Cyprinodontiformes; Nothobranchiidae
Source: Ensembl